CUUCCUAUCUUCAAUCCCCAGCCAUCCUCCCCAUCUUCCUCCUCCAGCCGAGAUCCUUCCCUGCUUGCUCGAGAUCGCCUCAGCCUCCGGCCAUGGAGCUCGCCCCUGCUCGACGCCCUUGCUUUUCCCCCAGCUCCGGCGUUCGUCGCGCCCCCUGUGCCGCAACCUCGCCGAAUCGUGCCCCUGCUCCUCUCCAUCCAUGGCUGCGCUCGACCUCCACUUCAAGCCGCGCCCUGGGAUUUGCACAGAACCUCCAUCCCCUCGACACCAGUUCUCAGCUCCUCCGCCUCCCUAUGUUUGGUCGCCUCUCUGUUUUCCCCAUCUGGCCGUCGUUCUUCAGCCCAGGCCAUCAUGGCGCCCUCUGUCCAACACGCCGUUGUCCACUGCAAGCUUGCCGACUCGCCCUUCUUUAGGGUCGUCGCCAGCAGCUGCUGCUCCUCCUCUCUUCGCCCUGCUGCGCUCUGGUGGUCGCCAGUUCCCAGCUCCUACUCAACCGGUGUCAGGCUCGGACCACCUUGUCGCGUUGCUUUUUGUUGUGGCCAUCUAGUCGUUGAUGCUCGGUCUCCCCUGUUAGCAUCAUCAACCGUUCCUGGACCAAAUCGUUGCCCUCUGAUCUCUUUGUCAAUGUCAGGCACUCUUUUCCUUUCUUCUCAUAUUACCAAUACGUGUUGUGUUUUGCUCUAGUGAUCCUUCUCAUCUUGCCUGUUUUGUCCAUGUGUGUAUUGUGCUGUAGGGUGAGGAUGAAAGGGGGGUUAGUGAUGAUGGAGAAAACUAGUGUAUCGUGUGCUGUUUGUUUGAUGAAAUGUUUAAGCCGGGAUCUUAAAUGUUGAGGAAAGGAUUCUCCUUCCUCUUUUGCUUUGCGAUAUUAUGGUUGUUUUUAGUAUUAUUGAAAUAUCUCGUUAUAUGCAAUAUAGCGGUUGAGUUCAUAUGGGUGAAGUAGCCGUGGCUUGGGAAACCUAGGUCUAAGGUAGAAAUGAUGCGAGGAGUGCUUAGGUAAACAUGUAUGUCUAAUGGGAAUGGGGUUCGUGAUGGUGGAGUAAACACGUCGUGUAACAGAGUUUGGUUUGAGGUGUAUGGUGAUAUGCCUCUAUGGUAUGUCAUGAUUUAGGCACCGUAGUGUUCAGGAUGUAGACGUUCUAUUUAUUGUGAAUUUUAGGUUUAAGGCACAAGAUAUGUACUGUAUAAUUGAAUCGAUUCUAUUUUGAGACAUGGUAUUUAAGUGAUGUGAAUGGAAAUUUAGUGUUUUAAGUAAUUAGUCGAUUAGUUCUGUCAAUGUUGUUUGUGAGGAAUUUUGAGGUGUGAGGUAGAGCACAUUAGGAUCACCUUUUUUGCAAACUCACAUUUUAUGAGAAUGCCAAGGGCACCACUUGUCUGUAGCAUGAUGUCCUUCAGGUAGGCAAUCUAGCUGGCUUGAACUCCCUUUUUUGCAUCACUUAAUGUUAUCCAGGUUUUAGCAGUAGCUUUCAGAGCAAGCAUAUUUAUUCCAAAUCAUUCUUUUACAUUAUAACACUUUCUUAAUAGUUUUAAAAUUGUUUUCUGCUUUUGCACCAGCGUUUUAACUCCAUACUUCAAAGAGGAGGUGCUCUUUUCACCAGAAGAUCUUCAUAGGAAAAAUGAGGAUGGUAUAUCAAUACUGUUCUACCUACGGAAAAUAUAUCCAGAUGAAUUUAGGAACUUCCUUUAGCAGAUAGAUUUUAAACUGAAGGAUGAAGAAGAACUUAAAGAAAUGAUGGAUGAGAUCUGUAAUUGGGCGUCUUAUAGGGGUCAAAUUCUCACCAGAACAGUAAGAGGAAUGAUGUACUACAGAAAGGCACUUGAAAUCCAAUGCCUUCAAGAUAUGACAGAUCCUGCUAAAGUUGACCAAGACAGACCAAUAGGAUCCUACCAAGGGUUGCAAUCUGAUAUUGAAAUGGCACAAGCUAUUGUUGAUAUCAAAUUCACCUAUGUUGUCUCAUGUCAAGUUUAUGGCAUGCAAAAGAAAUCAAAGGAUUUAAAUGAAAAAAGGCGCUAUCAGAAUAUCCUCAGUCUCAUGAUAAUGAACCCAUCACUACGAGUUGCUUUCAUUAAUGAGGUCGAAGCUCCAACCAGAAAUGGAGCAACUGAGAAGACAUAUUAUUCCGUUCUUGUCAAAGGUGGUGAAAAGUAUGAUGAGAUAUUGGAGAGGGAAAACCUGAAAACCAAAAUCAUGGACUUCAUCAAGUUUGAUGUCGGCAACGUGGUCAUGGUGACCGGCGGGAGGAACACCGGGCGUGUAGGAGUGAUCAAGAACAGGGAGAAACACAAGGGCAGCUUUGAGACCAUCCAUGUCGAGGACUCCGUGGGCCACCAGUUCGCCACCCAGAUGGGCAACGUGUUCACCAUCGGCAAGGGCAACAAGCCGUGGGUGAGCCUGCCCAAGGGCAGGGGUAUCAAGCUCAGCAUCAUCGAGGAGCAGAGGAGGCGCGAUUUCAUUGCCCAGGCUGCUGCCAACGCAUAAGUUCUCUGAACGUGCUGCUUGGAGCUUUUUGCUAUGUCUAGUUUUCUCCUAUUUGUUGUACACGAAAAGAUAGGAAAAGAUAGAAUGGAAUUUAAAUUUGGUGGCCGCAAAAGUGUGGAGACUUAAAUUCAUGUAAAGUUAGGCUUAACAUUAGUGCAAACAGUUGUAUUUUAGUUUAGAUUUAGAGUACACUUAUGUAUGAGU
Zea mays is the source of this 2680-nucleotide RNA transcript. It is a transcript of the gene named callose synthase - 40S ribosomal protein S4 pseudogene, with no coding region annotated. The transcript is spliced from 6 exons. The record is from RefSeq and is marked validated. Lineage: Eukaryota; Viridiplantae; Streptophyta; Magnoliopsida; Poales; Poaceae.